RNAcentral lists this ribosomal RNA (440 nucleotides) under uncultured bacterium. RNAcentral's name for it is "bacterial SSU rRNA". It matches the Rfam family "Bacterial small subunit ribosomal RNA", at positions 958 to 1401 of the family's 1533-position model. The record is from RNAcentral.
AACGCGAAGAACCUUACCUGGGUUUGACAUGCACAGGACGACGGCAGAGAUGCCGUUUCCCUUGUGGCCUGUGUGCAGGUGGUGCAUGGCUGUCGUCAGCUCGUGUCGUGAGAUGUUGGGUUAAGUCCCGCAACGAGCGCAACCCUUAUCCCUAGUUGCCAUCGGGUCAAGCCGGGCACUCUAGUGAAACCGCUUCGGAUAACGGAGAGGAAGGUGGGGAUGACGUCAAGUCCUCAUGGCCUUUAUGUCCAGGGCUACACACGUGCUACAAUGGCCGGUACAAACCGUCCCAAACCCGCGAGGGGGAGGCAAUCGGAAAAAGCCGGCCUCAGUUCGGAUUGGAGUCUGCAACUCGACUCCAUGAAGCUGGAAUCGCUAGUAAUCGCGGAUCAGAACGCCGCGGUGAAUACGUUCCCGGGCCUUGUACACACCGCUACAGU